Molecule: ribosomal RNA, 118 nt
Filed under: uncultured Leccinum
Lineage: Eukaryota; Fungi; Basidiomycota; Agaricomycetes; Boletales; Boletaceae
Description: 5.8S ribosomal RNA
Rfam family: 5.8S ribosomal RNA
About the family: 5.8S ribosomal RNA (5.8S rRNA) is a component of the large subunit of the eukaryotic ribosome. It is transcribed by RNA polymerase I as part of the 45S precursor that also contains 18S and 28S rRNA.
Source: RNAcentral
UACAACUUUCAGCAAUGGAUCUCUUGGUUCUCGCAUCGAUGAAGAACGCAGCGAAUCGCGAUAAGUAAUGUGAAUUGCAGAUUUUCAGUGAAUCAUCGAAUCUUUGAACGCACCUUGC